RNAcentral lists this long non-coding RNA (1275 nucleotides) under Nicotiana benthamiana. Its description in RNAcentral is "long non-coding RNA (NBEN_LNC039345)". Lineage: Eukaryota; Viridiplantae; Streptophyta; Magnoliopsida; Solanales; Solanaceae. The record is from RNAcentral.
UUACAUCUACAACUGAAUUUCCCUCUGUUUUAGCAUGAAUGAGUGCGGCCACAGUCAAAUACAAAUGCUCUCCUCCUUCAUAUGCGCUAGUAAAAUGCAAGCAUUUCUAGAAGAAGGGUAAUACUGCCCAAGAGAUCUCUUCCAAUUAGCUACAACUUUGAGAGCUUGGAUUAGGAUUCGUAUCUUUGCAAAAGGUUUCUCUAAGUUUCUGUUCGUCUCUUCUAGAACUUUUACUGAAAGCUGUCUGUUUGUCUUUCCUAAGCAAGGAAGAUGUUUUUUUUUCCUAGAAAGGUAUAUUCAUUUCGCCAAUGAUCUUUUCCGCAAUCCUUUUGCAAUGUUGUGUGUGUCUGUGUGUGUGUAUAUAUAUAUAUAUAUAUUGCAUAACCUGUAUACAGCUGUGCCUGCAAUGAGAAAUUUCGAAUUUGUGCACAUCCAACAGAUCGAGAAAAAUAUUUUACCUAAGCUUUUCUUCUAUCCUCGGUCGUCAUUUAUUACUAUGUGCAAAUCCAGAUCUACCAAAAGACAGACUGCAUUUAUUGAUAAACGUGUCUUUCGUAGUUUAAACUGUCUGAUUAUGACAUGCAUAUUAAUGAAUUUCUCAAAUUUGCAGGUAGUUUUUUUUAUACAUAUCAGGGUUGAUAACAGCCGCUGCAUUAUUGAUCACUGCAUUUUCUACACCCUUGCUUCCAUUAUGAGCAGCUUGAUCUAGAGAAAUCUUGAUUUAUUUCUAUGCAAUCGGAGCUCGUCGAUUUCCCUGUCCUUAUAUCUUAUUUACAUCUAUGCAACUCAAAUUAAACGUACUCCCCAUUUCUCCAAGCUCUGUGGUUACUGGGUCUUUUGUAGACCAUAGGCAACGUUUUCAACUCUUGCUCAAACAGCUGGCCAGAGAUUGGUUCAAUAUGCCCUCGAGAAGUCAACAGCACUUAUAUUCAUGGAAGGUAGCUAAUUACAUCUUAAAUAUGGUUUAGUAAUGAGCUUAAUUAUAUAACUUUGUUUUUGUUUUUAUUUUGUUUUUCCUUUUCUUCACUGAGCCAAGGGUCGACUGGAAACAGUCUCUCUACCCUUUCGGGUAGGGAUAAGGCUCGUCUACAUAUUACCAUCCCCAGACCCCACUUUGUGGGACUAUACUGGAUAGUUGUUGUAUAUAACUUUGUUUUUUUGUUAUCUUCAGAACAGGACAUUGUUAUUGGGAUUAGAACUUAGUAAGUGUCCUGUAAGUUUGGUAUAAUAUUUAAACAUUUCGAUCUAGUAUUUUUAGUAUUAAAUUUCUUAAAU